RNAcentral lists this transfer RNA (97 nucleotides) under Azorhizobium oxalatiphilum. RNAcentral's name for it is "tRNA-Sec". It matches the Rfam family "Selenocysteine transfer RNA". The record is from RNAcentral. Lineage: Bacteria; Pseudomonadati; Pseudomonadota; Alphaproteobacteria; Hyphomicrobiales; Xanthobacteraceae.
UGGAGGAGAAGCGUCCCUGGUGGGGCGUCCGGACUUCAAAUCCGGGAGGGGCCGCGAGCCGGUCCUUGGUGGGUUCGACUCCCACUCUCUUCCGCCA